Molecule: ribosomal RNA, 285 nt
Filed under: uncultured bacterium
Lineage: Bacteria
Description: partial 16S ribosomal RNA
Rfam family: Bacterial small subunit ribosomal RNA
Source: RNAcentral
AAGCAGGGGAUCGCAAGACCUUGCGCUUUUAGAGCGGCCGAUGUUUGAUUAGCUAGUUGGUGAGGUAAAGGCUUACCAAGGCUUCGAUCAGUAGCUGGUUUGAGAGGACGACCAGCCACACUGGGACUGAGACACGGCCCAGACUCCUACGGGAGGCAGCAGUGGGGAAUUUUGGACAAUGGGGGAAACCCUGAUCCAGCCAUGCCGCGUGAGUGAAGAAGGCCUUCGGGUUGUAAAGCUUUUUCAGCCGGAACGAAACGGUCACGGCUAAUACCUGUGAUCACU